RNAcentral lists this ribosomal RNA (519 nucleotides) under uncultured eukaryote. RNAcentral's name for it is "bacterial SSU rRNA". It matches the Rfam family "Eukaryotic small subunit ribosomal RNA", at positions 83 to 638 of the family's 1831-position model. The record is from RNAcentral.
GAAACUGCGAAUGGCUCAUUAAAACAGUUAUAAUUUAUUUGAUAAUGUCCUUCAUAUGGAUAACCAUUUUGGGAAACUAUGGCUAAUACAUGCUUAAAGACCUUCGGGUUGUAUUUAUUACUUUUGGCCAAUCUUACAUUGUGAUGAGUCAUAAUAACUGAUCCAAGCGCACUUGUGUGCGCUAAAUCUUUCAACUAUCUGCCCUAUCACAUUGUUGGUAGUGUAUUGGACUACCACGUCCAUUACCGGUAACCGAGAAUUACGGUUCGAUUCCGGAUAUGGAGCCUGAGACACGGCUACCACAGCUACUGUACGCAGCACGUGCGUAAAUUACCCAAUCCAAAAUCUGGAACGUAGUUACAUGAAAUCCGUUGCAUGGGGUUCUACCCCAGACACUAACGAACACAUGUAAGUAUUGUGUGUCUAAUUGGAGGGCAAGUUGUGGUGCCACCAGCCGCGGCUAUUCCAACUCCCACAGUGUAUCUUACUGUUGCUGCAGUUAAAAAGCUCGUAGUUGAA